RNAcentral lists this transfer RNA (71 nucleotides) under Stegodyphus mimosarum. It matches the Rfam family "tRNA". From Rfam's summary of the family: Transfer RNA (tRNA) molecules are approximately 80 nucleotides in length. Their secondary structure includes four short double-helical elements and three loops (D, anti-codon, and T loops). Further hydrogen bonds mediate the characteristic L-shaped molecular structure. tRNAs have two regions of fundamental functional importance: the anti-codon, which is responsible for specific mRNA codon recognition, and the 3' end, to which the tRNAs corresponding amino acid is attached (by aminoacyl-tRNA synthetases). tRNAs cope with the degeneracy of the genetic code in two manners: having more than one tRNA (with a specific anti-codon) for a particular amino acid; and 'wobble' base-pairing, i.e. permitting non-standard base-pairing at the 3rd anti-codon position. The record is from Rfam by way of RNAcentral. Lineage: Eukaryota; Metazoa; Arthropoda; Arachnida; Araneae; Eresidae.
GCCUUCGUGAUGUAACGGUAGCACACUUGGGUCGUAAACGAAAGAUUCAGGUUCGAGUCCCGGCGAGGGCA